This is an RNA transcript of Triticum dicoccoides, 3563 nucleotides long. It is a transcript of the gene named AP2-associated protein kinase 1-like, with no coding region annotated. Lineage: Eukaryota; Viridiplantae; Streptophyta; Magnoliopsida; Poales; Poaceae. The transcript has 9 exons. The record is from RefSeq and is a predicted model, not a curated record.
CCCACUCGCCUCGCCUCGCCUCGCAUCGCCACCGUAAGCCCGUAACAAACAAAUCUUUCCUCUUUUCUUCUUCCUCCUGCUCCCGGUCUGCCCGCCGCUAACCCCUACGAGCAAGCAAUCCUGCCUGCCCCACAGGCACACCACCCCCCCACGGCCUCCAGAUCGGAGCUGGCGAGUCCCGGACCCUACUACACCUGCUGCUCUGAGUGAGGCGGCCGGGCUGGGGGUUGGUCGCUUCCUGGUUGGCCGCCCACGACCAGUUCUUGAUCCCGGACUGCUUCAAGCGGGCCGGGUCUGGUCGUUUCUUGGUUGAACUGAUUGGUUGCUGCUGACUUGGUCGAUCUCCUCUUCUUCCAUUGCUGCUUCGUCGUGUCGGCUGGCCAUUGCAGUUGCACACAAGGUGUUUGUUUGGCGGCAGCGGGCGCUGCUGAGCUAGGUUGCUCGCUGGCUUCUUCGUUGGUGUUAAGCGGUAUGCCAGGUAGGUAGAUCUGCUCGGAGGGACGGCCAUUCGACAGUUGCUGUAUCAAAGCUGGAUAGACAGGCAGAUCUUGAGAGACGCCGAUCACUGUUCUGCCGCUCGGACGGACCCUGUUGAUUCGUAGCUCUCAAGCUUUACCAUGCUGAGAAAUCCUUGCUGAGUGUGGAUAAACUUCACAUAGGAGGUUUCUGAGGCUGAACCAGGCGCUUUUGACUUGUGAGGGCUGAGGAUUAGUAAUUAAUCAAAUCAUGUGGAGACCGUUCAGGCAGCUCAUGCCCAAAGAGCAUUCCGGGCCUUCUGGCGGCCUCGAGGGCCGAACCAUCGAUGUCGGCAAUGUGAAGGUGCACGUCCGGGAAGCCAUUGCCGAGGGUGGGUUCUCGUGCGUGUACCUCGCCCGGGACCUGACCAACCCAGCAAAGAAGUACGCGCUCAAGCACGUCAUUGCCCAGGACAAGGAGUCGCUGGACCUGGUGCAGAAGGAGAUCACGGUGAUGAGGGCGCUCAAGGGGCACCCGAACGUGGUCACGCUCGUUGCGCACGCCAUAAUGGAUAUGGGCCGUGGGAGGGAGGCGCUUCUGCUGAUGGAGUUCUGCGAGAGAUCGCUGGUUUCUGCCUUGGACACUAGAGGUACUGCAGGGUUCUAUGAUGAGGAGCAGGUUGCUCUCAUCUUCCGGGAUGUUUGCAAUGCGGUGUUCGCGAUGCACUGCCAGACACCACCUGUUGCUCACAGGGACCUAAAGGCCGAAAAUGUGCUUCUUGGUGCUGACGGGGCUUGGAAAUUAUGUGAUUUUGGUAGUGUAUCAACAAACCAUAAGUGCUUUGAUAAACCAGAGGAGAGGGGCAUUGAAGAAGAUGUCAUCAGAAAGCAUACAACUCCUGCUUAUAGGGCUCCUGAGAUGUGGGACUUGUACAGGAGGGAAGUUAUUAGUGAGAAAGUAGAUAUAUGGGCUCUUGGAUGUCUCAUGUAUAGAAUCUGCUACUUAAAAUCAGCUUUUGGUUUAGAAUCAAAGCUUCAGAUCCUCAAUGGGAACUAUCGUAUCCCUGAAUUACCGAAGUACUGUUCUUCCAUUACAAGUCUGAUCGAAGAGAUGCUUCAGUCCUCUCCAGAUGCCAGACCAGACAUUACACAGGUAUGGUUUCGUGUUAAUGAAUUACUUCCUUUGGAGCUGCAAAAGGAUUUACCUGAUGGAUCCCCAUCUGGAUCAGCAUUUGAAUUGCAAACUACUGAGGAUGAAGGACCUUCUUCAUCACGGUCAAGAGACAAUGUGAGAAAUACACCUCCGAAAGGUCCUUCCAUUUUGAGGUCACAAGUUCCUGCUGAGAGUAAGGGUUCUGCAGGUGCAUUUUGGUCAACUCAACAUGCACAAGAACUAGCUUUUGCGGAUGACAAGGGGUCAGUUCUAGAUCAAGAGCCCAUACAUGAUGGCAUAGCAAAGCAACCUCAGGCAAAGAACCAGAACACAACACGGAAUGCAUACAGACAGUCUCUUUCUGCUUCUGUUGAUAGUUCUCCUGGGGAUUUUGAAAUAAGGUUUUCUCCAAAUGGUUCAGAAUAUGGCCUAGAGAAAACCCAAAACACUAAACCAGAUAACAAAACCAGUGCACAGACUGCCACUUUUAGCUCCUUUGUGGCAGACUUUGAUAAUGUUAAGGUGAGCUCAGAGGACAAUGCCGGUAGUUUAAACGCGGCAAGUAAAUUGAAAGGACAACAGCUGGAGGCCGAAGUAACUUUACUCAAGGAGCAAUUGAAGAUAGCAAACUUAGAGAAGGAAGAAAUCUCACUGAAGUUUGAUAGAUUGUCAGCCAUUUGCUCCUCUCAGAGGCGGGAGAUACAGGAACUUAAACAAGCUCUAGCCACAACUUCUGCACCAGUGCCAGUUAAGGAGUUGAAAGAAAAUUUGAAGGCUGAAUUCUCCCCACCCAGCACAAGCCUUGACACUCCGCCAAGGGAGAAGAUUGCAGGAACCCCACCAGAGCUCCGGCAAGGUCUAUUUACAUCAAGUCCAGGGACACCAAGCCCAGAUCCCAAGCCAUGGUCCGCUUUCCCUGAAGAGCCGAAAGCUCAAGCAGCUGUAAAAAGUGCCCACCCGAGGUCGGUCCGAACUUUAAGGGCAUCACAAAGCAACAAAGCCGGCUUGCUUAAUCAGUCAAAAACAAACUCUGGUGCCGACCCCUUUGCCUUCGGUCAAGAUAGCUUUAAGGCUGUACCUUCUGGCACCGUGCCUUCUGAGAUGUCAAAUUUGGGGAAUGCUUCUCAGUCCCUCAACACUCUUAAGGCUGAAGUGGAGAAAGAUGCACCCUACCAACCAGCUGGAUGGACUGGGUUUUAAUGUGCUAUCGCCAAUAAGGAUAUUUGGUAUCUGAUGAGACUAUACUCCUAUAGAAUUACAGAAAUAUGGUCCAUCCAUUGUAUCAUAAUCAUAUAAAUUGAGUGGUGUUGAGAGGGAGCAAAAUGAGCCCAACCCAGGAGUGCCAGAAUUGACGUAGGGAUGUAGCACUAUCAAUGUUUGGACACAGCAUGUACACAUACCAAGGCCUCAUUUCUAAACAUGAAGAGUUGAAAAGGGCGAAAACCAAAGAGAGCGAGAAAUGCGAAGCGAUUACCUAAGUUGACAUACUCAUACCCCAGUUUCGCAAGACCAGUAUCCACCAUGGCAUCAGCUACACAAACACAAUGUGAUUUAUUUAUAUAUUGCAGCAAUGCAAGGUUUGAUUUUCCUGGCUAAGAGAGAACAAGGGAGCACCAUGCUUACCUAUUUUUCGGAUUAUCACCUCGUCUAUCUUGCAGCCGAAGUGGUUCCAGCUAUUCCACCUGAAUACACCGUGCUGUCAGUUCAGCAAGACUUGAUUGUUGGAAAUAUUUCAUGGAGAAGCAGAUAGAAACCAGUUCUCCCUGUUCGGUUUAGAGGGGCUUGAAGAGGACUCGGGUCUUCUUUGGUUCAUAGGAUAGAAAUAUCAUAGGAAUAUGAAACUUGUAGGAAUUGAGAUGUUAUGUAUUCUAAAUCCUAUGAAUAGGAAUAGAAAAAUAGAUGUCCGUUUGUUCACAUCAUAGGAUUUUUUUUAUUAAGUCUAGGCUAAUGUUAUU